This 222-nucleotide small RNA is filed under the name Arabidopsis thaliana (thale cress). RNAcentral describes it as "ATSL167540". Lineage: Eukaryota; Viridiplantae; Streptophyta; Magnoliopsida; Brassicales; Brassicaceae. The record is from RNAcentral.
AAGGGAGAGGAAAUACUUUCUUUUUAUCGCAUUAGUCGACUUAUAAGGUAAUAACAAGGAGUCAAGCAUUUUCUACUUUUUUCAGGUCUUUACAUGUUUGGGAUGCAUUUGGAGAUUAUGGAGCAUUCUGGAGCAACAAAGACAACUUAAGCUGCACAAGCAAUUCGGAGACGGAAAUUGACGUAGGUGUCGAUCGACACAACCCCUGGUGUCGAGCGAUAC